AGAGUUUGAUCCUGGCUCAGAACGAACGCUGGCAGCGUGGAUUAGGCAUGCAAGUCGAACGGGAUCCUGAGGCGCAAUUCUUCGGAUGAGCAAUCCAGGUGAGAGUGGCGGAAGGGCGAGUAAUGUAUGGACAAUCUACCCCUGAGGCGGGGAUAACCGCGGGAAAUCGCGGCUAAUACCGGAUGUGGCGCCGCAGCGCAUGCUGCGGAGGUUAAAGGCGGGGACCCUUCGGGGCCUGUCCUUCGGGGAGGAGUCCGUAUGCCAUCAGCUUGUUGGCGGGGUAAUGGCCCACCAAGGCUUACGGCUAGCUGGUCUGAGAGGACGACCGGCCACACUGGGACUGAGACACGGCCCAGACUCCUACGGGAGGCAGCAGCUAAGAAUCUUCCGCAAUGGGCGAAAGCCUGACGGAGCGACGCCGCGUGAACGAUGAAGGCCGAGAGGUUGUAAAGUUCUUUUCUCAGGGAGGAAUAACCAUGGUAGGGAAUGACCGUGGGAUGACGUUAACUGAAGAAUUAAGCCCCGGCUAAUUACGUGCCAGCAGCCGCGGUAACACGUAAGGGGCAAGCGUUGUUCGGAAUCAUUGGGCGUA
This 592-nucleotide ribosomal RNA is filed under the name uncultured bacterium. Its description in RNAcentral is "bacterial SSU rRNA". It matches the Rfam family "Bacterial small subunit ribosomal RNA", at positions 8 to 562 of the family's 1533-position model. The record is from RNAcentral.